UGGGUUAAGUCCCGCAACGAGCGCAACCCCUAUUNUUAGUUGCUCCGUUAAGGAGAUCUCUAAGGAGACUGCCGGUGAUAAAUCCGGAGGAAGGUGGGGAUGACGUCAAGUCAGUACGGCCCUUACGCCCUGGGCGACACACGUGNUACAAUCCCUGCUACAAAGCGUUGCCAAGCCGCGAGGUGGAGUCUAAUCUGCAAAAAAGCAGGGCCAGUUCAGAUUGAAGGCUGCAAUUCGCCUUCAUGAAGUUGGAAUNGNUAGUAAGCGCGUAUCAGCCAUGACGCGCUGAAUACGUUCCCGGGUC
This 304-nucleotide ribosomal RNA is filed under the name uncultured bacterium. Its description in RNAcentral is "bacterial SSU rRNA". It matches the Rfam family "Bacterial small subunit ribosomal RNA", at positions 1076 to 1380 of the family's 1533-position model. The record is from RNAcentral.